Molecule: ribosomal RNA, 231 nt
Filed under: uncultured Staphylococcus sp.
Lineage: Bacteria; Bacillati; Bacillota; Bacilli; Caryophanales; Staphylococcaceae
Description: partial 16S ribosomal RNA
Rfam family: Bacterial small subunit ribosomal RNA
Source: RNAcentral
AGUAACACGUGGAUAACCUACCUAUAAGACUGGGAUAACUUCGGGAAACCGGAGCUAAUACUGGAUAAUAUUUUGAACCGCAUGGUUCAAAAGUGAAAGACGGUCUUGCUGUCACUUAUAGAUGGAUCCGCGCUGCAUUAGCUAGUUGGUAAGGUAACGGCUUACCAAGGCAACGAUGCAUAGCCGACCUGAGAGGGUGAUCGGCCACACUGGAACUGAGACACGGUCCAG